GAAGCUCAAGAACAGCUUGUCGUGAUGAUACCUAGCAGCAUCAAUAACUUUAUAAACCUAUCUGUGCUUCCAACAUAUUUUAAGCGUUGGACAUCAAAAUACAAUCUACAGUUUACUUGUUUGAUUUCUGAAGUAUGUUUGAAAACAUAAAGGAGCUUAUUCCUCUCAGAGUCCAUCAUAAACUACCUAGGACACAUAUGGAGUACUACAUAUAAAGAUAUAGACACUGAUCACUAUUAUAUUGCAGACUACCGAAAAAUAGAUUUCCGAAUAUGGUCCUGUUUCCUAUCUUUAUAACUUAUAUUCUGCUCUCACUAAUUACUCCUGGUUGUCACGUUUUUGUUUUUGUCGGUUGAAUUGACUAAUUUUUUUAUCAAAAAUUAUAAGUUACUCUUUCAUUAUUUUAAAAAACUGAAAAUCAUAUAACAAAAAGAAAAAAUCACAUCUUAAAGUAGAUUAUAAGUUAUUUUCGAUGACAUUUUUUUUAAUUAAUCAAUUGAUAAAGUAUUAAAAAAAUUCAAUCAAACUUUGGUCAAUUUGACCGGCACAAACCCAAAUGUGACAACUAAAAAGAGACAGAAGGAGUACUGUAUUAUUUAAACGGGUCCAGAUCCCGACAUACGAUUGCUGGCAGAGUUUUUAUCCAACACACGCCACACUGUCGGAUUACAUCAAAAAUUUUAUUGGAUAUCCGCGUUUAAAAAACGUUGUAUACCUGUCUGCAACGAUUUUAAGCGCUGGACGGAUAGAUUGUUUUUUAUCUGUAUGCAACGGUUUUAAGCACUAGACGGAUAAAUUGUUUUUUGAUAUACUACGCUUGAAAAAUACUUUAAUUUUAUUAUUAUACGUAAAAUAUAAUAAGAAUUUUUUUACAAAAUAUUGGUACUUUUGUAAGUGAUGACUCCUUUUUCCUUUCCCUCUUUUCAGGAUCUUGUGAAAUUAAAAUUCUGAUAUGUUUUUUACAGAAGCUCAAGAACAGCUUGUCGUGAUGAUACCUAGCAGCAUCAAUAACUUUAUAAACCUAUCUGUGCUUCCAACAUAUUUUAAGCGUUGGACAUCAAAAUACAAUCUACAGUUUACUUGUUUGAUUUCUGAAGUAUGUUUGAAAACAUAAAGGAGCUUAUUCCUCUCAGAGUCCAUCAUCGUAUUAAGUCCUCCCGGAAUAAAAGGUUCCCUCAAUCCAAAUUCCUUUAAAGCCUCAGUUGCU
This 1207-nucleotide long non-coding RNA is filed under the name Daucus carota (carrot). RNAcentral's name for it is "long non-coding RNA (DCAR_LNC000613)". The record is from RNAcentral. Lineage: Eukaryota; Viridiplantae; Streptophyta; Magnoliopsida; Apiales; Apiaceae.